UACGGGGGGAGCAAGCGUUGUUCGGAUUUACUGGGCGUAAAGGGCGCGUAGGCGGCCGCCGCAAGUCAGUUGUGAAAUCUCCGAGCUUAACUCGGAAAGGUCAACUGAUACUGCGGGGCUAGAGUGCGGAAGGGGCAACUGGAAUUCUUGGUGUAGCGGUGAAAUGCGUAGAUAUCAAGAGGAACACCUGCGGCGAAGGCGGGUUGCUGGGCCGACACUGACGCUGAGGCGCGAAAGCUAGGGGAGCAAACGGG
RNAcentral lists this ribosomal RNA (254 nucleotides) under uncultured bacterium. Its description in RNAcentral is "partial 16S ribosomal RNA". It matches the Rfam family "Bacterial small subunit ribosomal RNA", at positions 524 to 776 of the family's 1533-position model. The record is from RNAcentral.